AAUCAACGCUGGCGGCGUGCCUCAGACAUGCAAGUCGAACGAUUAAACUUUCCUUCGGGAAGACAUAGAGUGGCGCACGGGUGAGUAACACGUAAGUAAUCUACCCUUGGGUGGGGAAUAACAUCGGGAAACCGAUGCUAAUACCGCAUAAUGCAGCGGCUUCUUAUGAAGACAGUUGUUAAAGCAUUUAUGUGCCUGAGGAGGAGCUUGCGGCAGAUUAGCUAGUUGGUAAGGUAAUGGCUUACCAAGGCGACGAUCUGUAGCCGACCUGAGAGGGUGGUCGGUCACACUGACACUGAAUAACGGGUCAGACUCCUACGGGAGGCAGCAGUCGGGAAUUUUGGGCAAUGGGCGCAAGCCUGACCCAGCAACGCCGCGUGAAGGAUGAAGUAUUUCGGUAUGUAAACUUCGUAAAAUAGGAAGAAUAAAUGACGGUACUAUUUGUAAGGUCCGGCUAACUACGUGCCAGCCGCCGCUGUAAU
Molecule: ribosomal RNA, 482 nt
Filed under: uncultured bacterium
Lineage: Bacteria
Description: bacterial SSU rRNA
Rfam family: Bacterial small subunit ribosomal RNA
Source: RNAcentral